This 382-nucleotide ribosomal RNA is filed under the name uncultured bacterium. Its description in RNAcentral is "bacterial SSU rRNA". It matches the Rfam family "Bacterial small subunit ribosomal RNA", at positions 28 to 409 of the family's 1533-position model. The record is from RNAcentral.
GAUGAACGCUGGCGGCGUGCCUAACACAUGCAAGUCGAACGGAAGUAAGAGCUUCGGUUUUACUUUAGUGGCGAACGGGUGAGUAACGCGUGAGAAACCUGCCUCUCAGUGGGGGACAACAGUUGGAAACGACUGCUAAUGCCGCAUAACACUUUAGUACCGCAUGGUACAGAAGUCAAAGCUUUAUGUGCUGAGAGAUGGUCUCGCGUCUGAUUAGCUAGAUGGCGGGGUAACGGCCCACCAUGGCGACGAUCAGUAGCCGGUCUGAGAGGAUGAACGGCCACAUUGGGACUGAGAUACGGCCCAGACUCCUACGGGAGGCAGCAGUGAGGAAUAUUGGUCAAUGGACGAGAGUCUGAACCAGCCAAGUAGCGUGCAGGAC